This 111-nucleotide non-coding RNA is filed under the name Cupriavidus necator N-1. RNAcentral's name for it is "Betaproteobacteria-1 RNA". It matches the Rfam family "Betaproteobacteria-1 RNA". The record is from Rfam by way of RNAcentral. Lineage: Bacteria; Pseudomonadati; Pseudomonadota; Betaproteobacteria; Burkholderiales; Burkholderiaceae.
CGCACUGUUGGUCGGCUAGAUACGGCAGCGACGGGGGAGACGGUCUCUGUGGGGAGUUGAGACGACCAGCACGCGGGCGAAGAUAGCGCGUGGCUCAAAUGACUGUCUGAA